GAUGAACGCUGGCGGCGUGCUUAACACAUGCAAGUCGAAUGGAAAGGCCCAAGCUUGCUUGGGUACUCGAGUGGCGAACGGGUGAGUAACACGUGGGUGAUCUGCCCUGCACUUCGGGAUAAGCCUGGGAAACUGGGUCUAAUACCGGAUAGGACGAUGGUUUGGAUGCCAUUGUGGAAAGUUUUUUCGGUGUGGGAUGAGCUCGCGGCCUAUCAGCUUGUUGGUGGGGUAAUGGCCUACCAAGGCGUCGACGGGUAGCCGGCCUGAGAGGGUGUACGGCCACAUUGGGACUGAGAUACGGCCCAGACUCCUACGGGAGGCAGCAAUGGGGAAUAUUGCACAAUGGGCGCAGGCCUGAUGCAGCGACGCCGCGUGGGGGAUGACGGCCUUCGGGUUGUAAACUCCUUUCGCUAGGGACGAAGCGUUUUUGUGACGGUACCUGGAGAAGAAGCACCGGCUAACUACGUG
This 468-nucleotide ribosomal RNA is filed under the name uncultured bacterium. Its description in RNAcentral is "partial 16S ribosomal RNA". It matches the Rfam family "Bacterial small subunit ribosomal RNA", at positions 28 to 507 of the family's 1533-position model. The record is from RNAcentral.